Molecule: long non-coding RNA, 2387 nt
Organism: Aegilops tauschii subsp. strangulata
Lineage: Eukaryota; Viridiplantae; Streptophyta; Magnoliopsida; Poales; Poaceae
Source: RefSeq, a predicted model, not a curated record
CUUUCCUCCCAAGCAACAGCCAACACGGCCGCCACCAUCGCCUCCGCCCCUGCCUCCUCUCAUCCAAGGCCGCAGCCGCUCUUCCUCCGCUUCCGCCUCGUUUCUACUCUGUAGAUAGAUGUGAGAAUGGACUACGUGGUGCUGGUGGAGGAAGGUCCAGAGGAAAGAGGUGUGGUGAUAAUGGAGGGUGGUGUGGUGUGGUGUACUUACCAACCCUUUGCACCGUAUUGCUGUUGCUCUGGACUCAAAUGGUCUAACCAAAGUUUCCCGUUUCUGAUGUUUUCUCAAAAAAAUUGAGCCGUACCGCUGGCCUUGUCUCUUCUUUUUUCCCCUUGUGAAUUUAUUUAUCUUCCUGUGCAAAUCAAGGGUUGCAAAUGAUGUGAGAUAUGAUAUGCUAAACACUGAAUCUUUGAUAUGUUUACAAAACUUUGCUUAUUAUCUGAUGCCACCCAUCAGUUUCAACUUUCUACCCAGUUUUUGAAGAGGUUAGCUGAGCAAUUUGGUUGCUGUUAGUAUUGGUGUUUUCUUAAUGCCAUCAUACCUGUGUUAAUUCAUGAAGUACAAGUGGAUAUAUGGUUGAAUUUCUUAAUAUGAGCCAUACGAAUGUUAAUUCUUAUUUUUGCGUUCUUUAGAUUUGUGUUUUCUGGUUUAAUAGGUGAUGAAACUCUUUCAGCAAACAGUUCUGCUUCUGAGAAUUCAUGACUGACAAACCUGUUAUAUUCAUCUUGAGCCAUUGCAAUUGAUAAAAGCUGUGUACCAAAAUAACUGGAACAUUCUAAUGGUAUAGUUGUUUUGGGAAGUAAUUUGAACCUAAUCAGAGAGAUGGUUUACAAGAACAAUGUUGAUGUGUCCUAUCCCACUGGUGAUAUCUGGAUAUUCAUAAUUAAUAUAGCUGUUAAACCUUUGUAUCUUGCAUGUGUUCUUGUUGAUCCUGAAUUAGGAGCUUGUAAUUUUUUCUGAAAUGCCAGUGAUGCUAUGCCCAACAUCUGGAGGUGCAGAUGGCUCCAGGAUCCUGUUUACAGGACGAACCUACCUGGAGUCCCUGUAUUCACAUGACAUCCACGCGCAAGUCUGAGGUUGCUGAUGAUCACAUGACUUAUUCUUUUUAAGUGAUAAAACUAAGCCUCUGUGUAUCAAGUGAUGAGAGAAUACUGCAACAAUAUGAUCCAUGAUCUGAUUCUUAGUAUUUAAGUCUCUGAUGAUCACUUUGCCAAAUUUUCUUGUUUUUUUCUCGCUUGUUUUUUUUUUCAAAAGUUGAUCCUCAUGGGAUGUGAAGAAAAGGUCCAUGUUUCUGAUGUCCUGUGACUGAUAACCAUCUUUAAUUUCCUUCUGAUCCCUUGUGCAAGUGCAUCUUUGUUCAGACAUUUUUCUUGUAAUUGUCUUUUUAGAUGCUAUCUCGUAUUUGCCUAGUUUUUUGGCAUUGCGUUGAUGAAUUAUGAAUUUUCGCAUGUCAGACUUCAGAGAUGUCUUUGGCUUCAAUGAGAAGUCAUUUCAUAUUACUGAGCAAUGAAAUACCAUCUGUAAUGUUUCAGGACUGCCUCACCCUUGUCCUUGUGCCUUGCAACCGUGAUUCUUAGUAUUUAAGUCUCUGAUGAUCACUUUUUUUUCUCUCUCGUGUUUUGUUUCCAAAAGUUGAUCUCUUGUGGGAUGUGAUGAAAAGUUGGUCCGUGUAUCUGAUAAUACUAAGUCUUUGUGUAUCAAAUGAUGAGAGAAUACUGCAACAAUAUGAUCCAUGAUCUGAUUCUUAGUAUUUAAGUCUCUGAUGAUCACUUUGCCAAAUUUUCUUAUUUUCUCUUGUUUUUUGUUAUGAAAAGUUGAUCUUCAUGGGGUGUGAUGAAGAAAAGUUGUUCUGUGUUUCUGAUGUCCAGUAACUGAUAACCAUCUGUAAUUUCCUUCUGAUUCCUCGUGCAAAUGCAUCUCCGUUCAUCCAUUUUUCUUGUAAUUGUCUUUUUAGAUGUUUUCUCGUAUUUGCCUAGUUUUGUGGCAUUGCAUUGAUGAAUUAUGAAUUUUCGCAUGUCAGACUUCAGAGAUGCCUUUGGUGUCAAUGAGAAGUCAUGUCAUAUGACUGAGCAAUGAAAUACCAUUUGUAAUGUUUUGUUACUGCGUCCUUGCUACUGUGGAUGCUUUUGCAAUUUCUACUGAUGGAGGGAAGUUCAUACGCCCUGCAAUAAAGCAGAGUUGGCACGAUUGACGAAAAUAACGAAAAAUGUGCUGUUUUGUCACACACACAUCCCUUAUACUACAUGUAGAUAUGAUAGUUUCACAUAUAUGAAGCUACAUGUAGCAGUGCUCCUCAGAAAAUUGAUGGAUGUGAGGUCCCUUUCCCAAAUUAUCGACUACGAUUAUACUGUGUGCCACUGUAAUCUUUAUUAGAGGAUUCCAAGCCA